RNAcentral lists this unclassified non-coding RNA (177 nucleotides) under Borreliella garinii. RNAcentral's name for it is "partial 5S-23S ribosomal RNA intergenic spacer". Lineage: Bacteria; Pseudomonadati; Spirochaetota; Spirochaetia; Spirochaetales; Borreliaceae. The record is from RNAcentral.
UUUUAUCUUCCAUCUCUAUUUUGCCAAUUUGUUUAUACAACAUAGAAUAAUAUAUAUCUUUGUUUAAUCCAUGUCAAUAUAUAUUUUAUUUUUUAUAUUAUUCGAAUAAAACAUUCAAAAACAUGAACAUCUAAAAACAUAAAAAAUAAAAUCAAUGUUUAAAGUAUAAAAUAAAAA